UACGUAGGGGGCAAGCGUUGUCCGGAUUCAUUGGGCGUAAAGAGCGUGUAGGCGGCCAGGUAGGUCGGUUGUGAAAACUGGAGGCUCAACCUUCAGAGGUCGACCGAAACCAUCUGGCUAGAGUCCGGGAGAGGAGAGUGGAAUUCCUGGUGUAGCGGUGAAAUGCGCAGAUAUCAGGAAGAACACCCGUGGCGAAAGCGGCUCUCUGGAACGGUACUGACGCUGAGGAGCGAAAGCGUGGGGGAGCGAACAGG
Molecule: ribosomal RNA, 254 nt
Filed under: uncultured bacterium
Lineage: Bacteria
Description: partial 16S ribosomal RNA
Rfam family: Bacterial small subunit ribosomal RNA
Source: RNAcentral